Molecule: ribosomal RNA, 176 nt
Filed under: uncultured bacterium
Lineage: Bacteria
Description: partial 16S ribosomal RNA
Rfam family: Bacterial small subunit ribosomal RNA
Source: RNAcentral
GCCGGAAUUGCUAGUAAUGGCAGGUCAGCAUACUGCCGUGAAUACGUUCCCGGGCCUUGUACACACCGCCCGUCACACCAUGAGAGUUGGAAAUACCCGAAGCCUGUGAGCUAACUUAAGGGAGGCAGCAGUCGAAGGUAGAGCCAAUGAUUGGGGUGAAGUCGUAACAAGGUACC